RNAcentral lists this transfer RNA (58 nucleotides) under Cladonia ravenelii. RNAcentral's name for it is "tRNA-Glu". The record is from RNAcentral. Lineage: Eukaryota; Fungi; Ascomycota; Lecanoromycetes; Lecanorales; Cladoniaceae.
UUUUGUUUAUAUCUAUUUAUUAUUGAGGGUCAUAAUUGUUUUUAACAACAUAAACAAA